GAUGAAGAACGUAGUGAAAUGCGAUAAGUAAUGUGAAUUGCAGAAUUCAGUGAAUCAUCGAAUCUUUGAACGCACAUUGCGCCCACCAGUAUUCUGGCGGGCAUGCCUGUUCGAGCGUCAUUUCAACCAUCAAGCCCCCGGCUUGUGUUGGGGACCUGCGGCUGCCGCAGGCCCUGAAAACCAGUGGCGGGCUCGCUAGUCACUCCGAGCGUAGUAAUACAUCUCGCUCAGGGCGUGCUGCGGGUUCCGGCCGUUAAAAAGCCUUAUUUACCCAAGGUUGACCUCGGAUCAGGUAGGAAGACCCGCUGAACUUAAGCAUAUCAAUAAGCGGAGGA
This 335-nucleotide unclassified non-coding RNA is filed under the name soil metagenome. Its description in RNAcentral is "partial contains 5.8S ribosomal RNA, internal transcribed spacer 2, and large subunit ribosomal RNA". The stretch from base 1 to 120 matches the Rfam family "5.8S ribosomal RNA", at positions 35 to 154 of the family's 154-position model. The record is from RNAcentral.